CCUUUGUGGUUGUGUGGUGAGAGUGGCGAACGGGUGAGUAACACGUGAGUAACCUGCCUUUUUCUUUGGGAUAACGCUCAGAAAUGGGUGCUAAUACUGGAUGUUCUGCGCUUUCCGCAUGGGGGGUGUGGGAAAGGGGCCUUUGUGGUUUCUGGAGGGAGAUGGGCUCGCGGCUUAUCAGCUUGUUGGUGGGGUGAUGGCUUACCAAGGCUUUGACGGGUAGCCGGCCUGAGAGGGUGGGCGGUCACAUUGGGACUGAGAUACGGCCCAGACUCCUACGGGAGGCAGCAGUGGGGAAUUUUGCACAAUGGGGGGAACCUUGAUGCAGCGACGCCGCGUGAGGGAUGGAGGCCUUCGGGUUGUGAACCUCUUUCGCUCGUGUGCAAGCCGCUAUUUGGGUAGUGGUGAUUUAGCGG
RNAcentral lists this ribosomal RNA (416 nucleotides) under Schaalia radingae. Its description in RNAcentral is "bacterial SSU rRNA". It matches the Rfam family "Bacterial small subunit ribosomal RNA", at positions 78 to 481 of the family's 1533-position model. The record is from RNAcentral. Lineage: Bacteria; Bacillati; Actinomycetota; Actinomycetes; Actinomycetales; Actinomycetaceae.